This 427-nucleotide ribosomal RNA is filed under the name uncultured Haliangium sp. Its description in RNAcentral is "bacterial SSU rRNA". It matches the Rfam family "Bacterial small subunit ribosomal RNA", at positions 355 to 774 of the family's 1533-position model. The record is from RNAcentral. Lineage: Bacteria; Pseudomonadati; Myxococcota; Haliangiales; Kofleriaceae.
UGGGGAAUAUUGGGCAAUGGGCGAAAGCCUGACCCAGCCACGCCGCGUGAGUGAUGAAGGCCUUCGGGUCGUAAAGCUCUGUGGGGAGGGACGAACAAAUCUGGGGCUAAUCACCCGGAUCCUGACGGUACCUCCUUAGCAAGCACCGGCUAACCCUGUGCCAGCAGCCGCGGUAAUACAGGGGGUGCAAACGUUGCUCGGAAUCAUUGGGCGUAAAGCGCACGUAGGCGGUUCGUUAUGUCGGAUGUGAAAGCCCUUGGCUUAACCGAGGAAGUGCAUCCGAAACUGGCGAGCUAGAGUACUAAAGAGGAUCGCGGAAUUCCCGGUGUAGAGGUGAAAUUCGUAGAUAUCGGGAGGAACACCGGUGGCGAAGGCGGCGAUCUGGGUAGAUACUGACGCUGAGGUGCGAAAGCGUGGGGAGCAAACA